CUGAACCAGCCAAGUAGCGUGAAGGAUGACUGCCCUAUGGGUCGUAAACUUCUUUUAUACGGGAAUAAAGUGAGCCACGUGUGGCUUUUUGUAUGUACCGUAUGAAUAAGGAUCGGCUAACUCCGUGCCAGCAGCCGCGGUAAUACGGAGGAUCCGAGCGUUAUCCGGAUUUAUUGGGUUUAAAGGGAGCGUAGGCGGGUUGUUAAGUCAGUUGUGAAAGUUUGCGG
RNAcentral lists this ribosomal RNA (227 nucleotides) under uncultured bacterium. RNAcentral describes it as "partial 16S ribosomal RNA". It matches the Rfam family "Bacterial small subunit ribosomal RNA", at positions 383 to 607 of the family's 1533-position model. The record is from RNAcentral.